GAUGAACGCUGGCGGCGUGCCUAAUACAUGCAAGUCGAACGCUUUGUGGUUCAACUGAUUUGAAGAGCUUGCUCAGAUAUGACGAUGGACAUUGCAAAGAGUGGCGAACGGGUGAGUAACACGUGGGAAACCUACCUCUUAGCAGGGGAUAACAUUUGGAAACAGAUGCUAAUACCGUAUAACAAUGACAACCGCAUGGUUGUUAUUUAAAAGAUGGUUCUGCUAUCACUAAGAGAUGGUCCCGCGGUGCAUUAGCUAGUUGGUAAGGUAAUGGCUUACCAAGGCGAUGAUGCAUAGCCGAGUUGAGAGACUGAUCGGCCACGAUGGGACUGAGACACGGCCCAUACUCCUACGGGAGGCAGCAGUAGGGAAUCUUCCACAAUGGGUGAAAGCCUGAUGGAGCAACGCCGCGUGUGUGAUGAAGGGUUUCGGCUCGUAAAACACUGUUGUAAGAGAAGAAUGACAUUGAGAGUAACUGUUCAAUGUGUGACGGUAUCUUACCAGAAAGGAACGGCUAAAUACGUGCCAGCAGCCGCGGUAAUACGUAUGUUCCAAGCGUUAUCCGGAUUUAUUGGGCGUAAAGCGAGCGCAGACGGUUAUUUAAGUCUGAAGUGAAAGCCCUCAGCUCAACUGAGGAAUUGCUUUGGAAACUGGAUGACUUGAGUGCAGUAGAGGAAAGUGGAACUCCAUGUGUAGCGGUGAAAUGCGUAGAUAUAUGGAAGAACACCAGUGGCGAAGGCGGCUUUCUGGACUGUAACUGACGUUGAGGCUCGAAAGUGUGGGUAGCAAACAGGAUUAGAUACCCUGGUAGUCCACACCGUAAACGAUGAGUGCUAGGUGUUUGAGGGUUUCCGCCCUUAAGUGCCGCAGCUAACGCAUUAAGCACUCCGCCUGGGGAGUACGACCGCAAGGUUGAAACUCAAAGGAAUUGACGGGGACCCGCACAAGCGGUGGAGCAUGUGGUUUAAUUCGAAGCAACGCGAAGAACCUUACCAGGUCUUGACAUCCCUUGACAACUCCAGAGAUGGAGCGUUCCCUUCGGGGACAAGGUGACAGGUGGUGCAUGGUUGUCGUCAGCUCGUGUCGUGAGAUGUUGGGUUAAGUCCCGCAACGAGCGCAACCCUUAUUACUAGUUGCCAGCAUUCAGUUGGGCACUCUAGUGAGACUGCCGGUGACAAACCGGAGGAAGGUGGGGAUGACGUCAAAUCAUCAUGCCCCUUAUGACCUGGGCUACACACGUGCUACAAUGGCGUAUACAACGAGUUGCUAACCCGCGAGGGUGAGCUAAUCUCUUAGAGUACGUCUCAGUUCGGAUUGUAGGCUGCAACCCGCCUACAUGAAGUCGGAAUCGCUAGUAAUCGCGGAUCAGCACGCCGCGGUGAAUACGUUCCCGGGUCUUGUACACACCGCCCGUCACACCAUGAGAGUUUGUAACACCCAAAGCCGGUGGGGUAACCUUCGGGAGCCAGCCGUCUAAGGUGGGACAGAUGAUUAGGGUG
Molecule: ribosomal RNA, 1499 nt
Filed under: Weissella confusa
Lineage: Bacteria; Bacillati; Bacillota; Bacilli; Lactobacillales; Lactobacillaceae
Description: bacterial SSU rRNA
Rfam family: Bacterial small subunit ribosomal RNA
Source: RNAcentral